This 76-nucleotide transfer RNA is filed under the name Denitromonas halophila. Its description in RNAcentral is "Denitromonas halophilus tRNA-Thr". It matches the Rfam family "tRNA". From Rfam's summary of the family: Transfer RNA (tRNA) molecules are approximately 80 nucleotides in length. Their secondary structure includes four short double-helical elements and three loops (D, anti-codon, and T loops). RNAcentral also lists the same sequence under 7 other names. Lineage: Bacteria; Pseudomonadati; Pseudomonadota; Betaproteobacteria; Rhodocyclales; Zoogloeaceae. The record is from RNAcentral.
GCCGGUUUAGCUCAGUUGGUAGAGCAACCGCCUUGUAAGCGGUAGGUCGCGGGUUCGACUCCUGCAACCGGCACCA